AUAAUACUCCCUCUGUGCGGAAUUACUUGUCAUCAAAAUGGAUGUGUCUAGAACUAAAAUACAUCUAGAUACAUCCAUUUCAAUGACAAGUAUUUUCGGACGGAGGAAGUAGUAG
Non-coding RNA from Triticum aestivum (bread wheat), 115 nucleotides. The record is from Rfam. NCBI's taxonomy places the organism in Eukaryota, Viridiplantae, Streptophyta, Magnoliopsida, Poales, Poaceae.